CUCUUUAAAGUCAUUUUCAUAUAGUUCAAUUAAUUAUUAAAAGGGAGAAAAUGUGUUGUGUGAGCAAAGGAAAACGUGUAUAUUUAUUGUCAGAUUAAAAAAAAAUAUUUUCCCUGUUGUGAAUGAACAUUUUAAUACCUAAUAGAAGUGGGGGAAAGCACCUUUAUUUUGAAACAAACUGCUAAAAUAUUUGUAUGUUUCUGAUUUGGGACAGUUUUGGAGAGAAUAAUCUGUGGAGUGGAUUUAAAGAAAAUUUUGGGAGCUAUGUCUCUCUAAAAGGCAAGUCACUGAGAGUCAAGUGACUCCAAUUUAAGUCAUUUAAAUAUGAGAAUGAUAGGAAAAGGGUAGGUGAAGAAAGUAGAGAGAACAGAGCAGGGGACUGACAUUUAGUGCCUGAUAUGUGCCAGACAUUGUGCUAAGAGCUUUACAUUUAUUAUCUCAUUUGGUUGUCACAACAACCUUGGGAAGUAGCAGUUUUUAUUACCCCCAUCUUACAGAGAAGGAAAUUGAGGCAAACAGAGGUUAAGUGUCUUGCCCUGAGUCACAUAGCUAGUAAAUGUCUGAAGCUAAAUUUGAAACUUACUUUAUUAGAACCCUGGAAGUUAGAGAAAAUUGACUGAGAUAAGGCUUCAGCAGUGAUGGUCAAUUGAUUGGGGAGAAAUUAUUUCAUUGAUCAAAAGCAGUAGUGAUAGCUUUUACCCUAAUUACCACCUAGAAUUGGAGAAAGGUGAAGCUUGUUUGGUUUCCCCCAUUGGUCUGUUUGUUUUUUACUCUCUGCUGCCUCUUCUUGCUGGAGAAGAAAAAAGUAGAGGGGCUUUACCUACCCUGCUUUGUUAAUCUGAUGAGAUGAGCUAUGUUUGUGCUAUAUUCUGUUUCCCGAUUGGACUGUGCAGAAUCUGGAUUAGACAAAUGCUGAUUUUACUGAGAACGAUAUAAUUAAAUAUCUGUCUUUGUAUAAGCAUGUUCCCAGACACGGAUCUUCCAAGGCUGAUGAAGGGUCAUACCAGUGUUCCCUUCAGUCAUCCAGUUCUGUGCAUAUCUUCCCAAAAGAAGUUAGAUGGAUGUUAUUCAGCCUAACUCUUUAACUGAGUCUCCUCCCAUCUGUACAAGGAACUUUAUUGUCAUCUGAGACUGUGUCUCUUCACACCAUAUUAAACUGGACAUGACCAAAAGAUCAGGUUAUUGUAACUUGCUACUUGGGCUGCUUAUUCAACCACCUGAACAGUGGCCUUCAGGAAGAACUAGUCUUAACACUUGAGGGACUGCCUUUAAAAGCCACAGGGAAUCAGCAUAAACUGACUUUUCAAAUUGAUCUUAUUCCUUAAGGGUUAGAGGGCCACUUAAAAAUUCUCUAUUAUAGCCUGCAUAGUUCAAAAAUGGAUUCAA
Molecule: long non-coding RNA, 1386 nt
Filed under: Monodelphis domestica (gray short-tailed opossum)
Lineage: Eukaryota; Metazoa; Chordata; Mammalia; Didelphimorphia; Didelphidae
Description: lncRNA (ENSMODG00000050269.1)
Source: RNAcentral